Molecule: ribosomal RNA, 329 nt
Filed under: uncultured bacterium
Lineage: Bacteria
Description: bacterial SSU rRNA
Rfam family: Bacterial small subunit ribosomal RNA
Source: RNAcentral
GAUGAACGCUAGCGGCAGGCUUAAUACAUGCAAGUCGUGGGGCAGCAGGUUUGUAGCAAUACAGAUGCUGGCGACCGGCAAACGGGUGCGGAACACGUACAGAACCUUCCUUUGAGCGGGGAAUAGCCCAGAGAAAUUUGGAUUAAUACCCCAUAGUAUAAUGAAGUGGCAUCACUUUAUUAUUAAAGAUUAUCACUCGAAGAUGGCUGUGCGGCUGAUUAGGUAGUUGGCGGGGUAAAGGGCCCACCAAGCCUGCGAUCAGUAAACUGGUGUGAGAGCACGACCAGUCACACGGGCGACUGAGACACGGGCCCGGACCUCCUACGGGA